CCUACGGGGGGCUGCAGUGAGGAAUAUUGGUCAAUGGGCGCGAGCCUGAACCAGCCAAGUAGCGUGAAGGAUGACUGCCCUACGGGUUGUAAACUUCUUUUAUAAAGGAAUAAAGUGAGGCACGUGUGCCUUUUUGUAUGUACUUUAUGAUUAAGGAUCGGCUAACUCCGUGCCAGCAGCGGCGGUAAUACGGAGGAUCCGAGCGUUAUCUGGAUUUAUUGGGUUUAAAGGGAGCGUAGAUGGGUUGUUAAGUCAGUUGUGAAAGUUUGCGGCUCAACCGUAAAAAUGCAAUUGAUACUGGCAGCCUUGAGUGCAGUAGAGGGAGGCGGAAUUCGUGGUGUAGCGGUGAAAUGCGUAGAUAUCACGAAGAACUCCGAUUGCGAAGGCAGCUUACUAAACUGCCACUGACAUUGAUGCUCGAAAGUGUGGGUAUCAAACAGGAUUAGAUACCCUAGUAGUC
This 460-nucleotide ribosomal RNA is filed under the name uncultured bacterium. RNAcentral describes it as "partial 16S ribosomal RNA". It matches the Rfam family "Bacterial small subunit ribosomal RNA", at positions 338 to 795 of the family's 1533-position model. The record is from RNAcentral.